Molecule: long non-coding RNA, 772 nt
Organism: Erigeron canadensis
Lineage: Eukaryota; Viridiplantae; Streptophyta; Magnoliopsida; Asterales; Asteraceae
Exons: 2
Source: RefSeq, a predicted model, not a curated record
GAUACUCCAAAAUAUGAACUUUCAUCAACGCCUUAUUUGCUUAAGAAACCCACCCAAUACCUUGACCACCUUCAAACGUAAAGAGGCAAGUCAUCUUCCAUGAGGCUUUAGCCUUCCCUUUUUUCAUCUUCCCUUGUCACCAAAGAAAUCCAUGUAUCUUCUUUUCAAGACUAUAAAUGAUACUUGCUGGAAGAAAGAAUGCUGACGCCCACUAGUGAUGCAUAGAGAACAGCAUAGAGUUGAUAAGCUGGAGUCUCCCUGUAGGGAACUCCAUAUUAACAAACAGGAAGUUUACCUUCUUCGAGUGGUAGUAUAUCCAAGAUAGCUAUUUCACCUGCUCCGAAACGUUACAAAAGAACACUGUACGUUUAGGAAAACUUGAGACCCAACAUGUUCUCAAAAGCAUUUACAGCCUCCAUUAGUACAUUAGUAGAGUUCUUAUCACCCCUAGCAAGAUCAUCUGCAGAACAAAGGUCGUUUUUCACAAUAAUUUGGAAUCUUGACCUGUUAACAAACUCUGUUAUGAAUCAACAACUUCAAACGAAAUCCUUUGAUUUAGACAGAUUUGCUAAGUAGCUCGGUAGCGAGAUGAAAGCGAGUUUCAAGGAUGCAAAAUCUCCGCAUAGAGGAGAGAGAAUUUGUGUGAUUAUUAUAGAUAAUCUAUGUGUUGGAUAUGAUUUGAUAAACUUUAUUUAUUACAAUUUACAACGUUUUUCCAAUUUUUGAUAAAUCAAUUUGAUAUGUUAAAUGCAUCACUAAGUUUUAAACUUUA